RNAcentral lists this ribosomal RNA (429 nucleotides) under uncultured archaeon. Its description in RNAcentral is "bacterial SSU rRNA". It matches the Rfam family "Archaeal small subunit ribosomal RNA", at positions 474 to 903 of the family's 1478-position model. The record is from RNAcentral.
AACCAGCUCUUCAAGUGGUCGGGAUAAUUAUUGGGCUUAAAGUGUCCGUAGCCGGUUUAGUAAGUUCCUGGUAAAAUCGGGUAGCUUAACUAUCUAUAUGCUAGGAAUACUACUAUACUAGAGGGCGGGAGAGGUCUGAGGUACUACAGGGGUAGGGGUGAAAUCUUAUAAUCCUUGUAGGACCACCAGUGGCGAAGGCGUCAGACUGGAACGCGCCUGACGGUGAGGGACGAAAGCCAGGGGAGCGAACCGGAUUAGAUACCCGGGUAGUCCUGGCCGUAAACGAUGCAUACUAGGUGAUGGCACGGCCAUGAGCCGUGUCAGUGCCGUAGGGAAACCGUUAAGUGUGCCGCCUGGGAAGUACGGUCGCAAGGCUAAAACUUAAAGGAAUUGGCGGGGGAGCACCACAAGGGGUGAAGCCUGCGGUUC